This 2296-nucleotide ribosomal RNA is filed under the name Listeria monocytogenes. Its description in RNAcentral is "partial 23S ribosomal RNA". It matches the Rfam family "Bacterial large subunit ribosomal RNA", at positions 1 to 2287 of the family's 2925-position model. The record is from RNAcentral. Lineage: Bacteria; Bacillati; Bacillota; Bacilli; Caryophanales; Listeriaceae.
UUGGUUAAGUUAGAAAGGGCGCACGGUGGAUGCCUUGGCACUAGGAGCCGAAGAAGGACGGGACUAACACCGAUAUGCUUUGGGGAGCUGUACGUAAGCGUUGAUCCAGAGAUUUCCGAAUGGGGGAACCCACUAUCUUUAGUCGGAUAGUAUCCUUACGUGAAUACAUAGCGUGAGGAAGGCAGACCCAGGGAACUGAAACAUCUAAGUACCUGGAGGAAGAGAAAGAAAAAUCGAUUUCCUGAGUAGCGGCGAGCGAAACGGAAAGAGCCCAAACCAAGAAGCUUGCUUCUUGGGGUUGUAGGACACUCUAUACGGAGUUACAAAAGAAAGUUAUAAAUGAAGCGGUCUGGAAAGGCCCGCCAAAGACGGUAACAGCCCGGUAGUUGAAAUGGCUUUCCCUCCAGAGUGGAUCCUGAGUACGGCGGAACACGUGAAAUUCCGUCGGAAUCCGGGAGGACCAUCUCCCAAGGCUAAAUACUCCCUAGUGACCGAUAGUGAACCAGUACCGUGAGGGAAAGGUGAAAAGCACCCCGGAAGGGGAGUGAAACAGUUCCUGAAACCGUGUGCCUACAAGUAGUUAGAGCCCGUUAAUGGGUGAUAGCGUGCCUUUUGUAGAAUGAACCGGCGAGUUACGAUUUGUUGCAAGGUUAAGCGGAAAAAGCGGAGCCGUAGCGAAAGCGAGUCUGAAUAGGGCGCAUAAGUAACAGGUCGUAGACCCGAAACCAGGUGAUCUACCCAUGUCCAGGAUGAAGGUAAGGUAAUACUUACUGGAGGUCCGAACCCACGCACGUUGAAAAGUGCGGGGAUGAGGUGUGGGUAGCGGAGAAAUUCCAAUCGAACUUGGAGAUAGCUGGUUCUCUCCGAAAUAGCUUUAGGGCUAGCCUCGAGGUAAAGAGUCAUGGAGGUAGAGCACUGUUUGGACUAGGGGCCCUUCUCGGGUUACCGAAUUCAGAUAAACUCCGAAUGCCAUGUACUUAUACUCGGGAGUCAGACUGCGAGUGAUAAGAUCCGUAGUCGAAAGGGAAACAGCCCAGACCACCAGUUAAGGUCCCCAAAUAUAUGUUAAGUGGAAAAGGAUGUGGGGUUGCUUAGACAACCAGGAUGUUGGCUUAGAAGCAGCCACCAUUGAAAGAGUGCGUAAUAGCUCACUGGUCGAGUGACCCCGCGCCGAAAAUGUACCGGGGCUAAACAUAUUACCGAAACUGUGGAUGAACCUCUUUAGAGGUUCGUGGUAGGAGAGCGUUCUAAGGGCGGUGAAGUCAGACCGGAAGGACUGGUGGAGCGCUUAGAAGUGAGAAUGCCGGUAUGAGUAGCGAAAGAAGGGUGAGAAUCCCUUCCACCGAAUAUCUAAGGUUUCCUGAGGAAGGCUCGUCCGCUCAGGGUUAGUCGGGACCUAAGCCGAGGCCGAUAGGCGUAGGCGAUGGACAACAGGUAGAGAUUCCUGUACCAGUGCUAAUUGUUUAACCGAUGGGGUGACACAGAAGGAUAGGGAAUCGCACGAAUGGAAAUGUGCGUCCAAGCAGUGAGUGUGAGAAGUAGGCAAAUCCGCUUCUCGCGAAGCAUGAGCUGUGAUGGGGAAGGAAAUUAAGUACGGAAGUUCCUGAUUUCACGCUGUCAAGAAAAGCCUCUAGGAAGAGUAGUACUGCCCGUACCGCAAACCGACACAGGUAGAUGAGGAGAGAAUCCUAAGGUGAGCGAGAGAACUCUCGUUAAGGAACUCGGCAAAAUGACCCCGUAACUUCGGGAGAAGGGGUGCUCUAUUAGGGUGCAAGCCCGAGAGAGCCGCAGUGAAUAGGCCCAGGCGACUGUUUAGCAAAAACACAGGUCUCUGCAAAACCGUAAGGUGACGUAUAGGGGCUGACGCCUGCCCGGUGCUGGAAGGUUAAGAGGAGUGCUUAGCUUCGGCGAAGGUACGAAUUGAAGCCCCAGUAAACGGCGGCCGUAACUAUAACGGUCCUAAGGUAGCGAAAUUCCUUGUCGGGUAAGUUCCGACCCGCACGAAAGGCGCAACGAUCUGGGCACUGUCUCAACGAGAGACUCGGUGAAAUUAUAGUACCUGUGAAGAUGCAGGUUACCCGCGACAGGACGGAAAGACCCCGUGGAGCUUUACUGCAACCUGAUAUGGAAUGUUUGUACCGCUUGUACAGGAUAGGUAGGAGCCGAAGAGACGUGUGCGCUAGCAUACGAGGAGGCAAUGGUGGGAUACUACCCUGGCUGUAUGACCAUUCUAACCCGCCACGCUUAGCGCGUGGGGAGACAGUGUCAGGUGGGCAGUUUGACUGGGGCGGUCGCC